Cyprinus carpio (common carp) is the source of this 1745-nucleotide long non-coding RNA. The record is from Ensembl. Lineage: Eukaryota; Metazoa; Chordata; Actinopteri; Cypriniformes; Cyprinidae.
GUAAAGAAUAUUGCUGUUCAGAGUGACUGCCUCUCCCCAUUGGUAUCUUACAGCUGAUUUGCAUCCCCAUGUGCCUAACAAAAACAGAAAACCACAGGGGGAGGUAGGAAAUGUUACAUGCAAAAUUAUGUACCAUCUAUAUCUGAUGAAAUGAAAAGUAUUUGGAAAGACUCAAUGGCUCUUCACCAGAUGUUAUUGAGGAACCUGGAGAUCCUGUCAGGGAUGAAGUGGAUUAUUCGUGGCCUCCUGCUUAUUUUAUCUGCUUUUCUCUGCAUAUCUGCAUAUCCAAAACCUGUUUGUCCUCUAAAGUCAAAAUCUGCAUGCACACAAAAUGGAAAUAAUAAGAUCAAUAUGUUCAUACUGGGUCCAUGUGGUUUUAAAGGAUACAUGGAAAUAAAGAACCUAUUCAAAGUCUAUGCUUUUCCAAUUGUUGAAAACGCAUCCGGUACAACACACAGUAGUGACUGUGGUGUUACUUUAUCAGGCAACUCACCUUACAAACUCAACAUAAACAGAUGUGUUAUGCCCAGGUUUGUCUGUUUAAUUGAAAAGAAAUGUAAAACUGACACUUUGACACACUGGAUGACAGAAGGUUGUAACUGGAUCCACCAAACCCCUACGUAUUUUAAGAAUGAUACAUGUAAUAUGACCUGCCUGAAUCCCAGAAAGACGUGUGAGAAUGCACAAUAUGAUUUGAACUGUAAAGGUGAUAAUGUAGGUAAUAUAAACAACAUUGUCAUCAGUGAUAACAUUCCAACUUGUUAUAAGUGUGGAAGUCCUCUUCCAAAUACGCCAAAAAUUAACACAUCCACAGUUUAUUUCAAUACUAAUAAAACAGAGAUAGAUGCUUCGGCAGCUGCUAAGGUCAUGGGAAACCUCUCCAGUGUUGUGUCUUUGAUGGGGAAUCAAACCGUUGCCUCUAUAUCCAUGGGUAAUGUUCAAGGGGUUUUAAAGAAAAUUCAAACUGAGUCUGAAAUCACAACAUCCUACUUCAUCUACUCUUCAGAAUCUGGCAUCAGUGUUAUAGAGGAUUUGGACGAACUGGAGAAUUUUCCCAAUGCUUUCUGUAUUCCAGCAGAAGCAGCUAAGGAAGCGCUCAACCAAAGUGCAGGAAGUGCUUUUAUGGGUAUUUUCCGCUUUCCCAACAUGUCAAAGGAUGCAGAGAAUAGUACGGUUUUGAAUGAUGAGGUUUAUGCAAUCGAAAUGGGGACAAAAAUUUCAAAUCUGAGUGAAAACAUCAGCUUGACAUUCGAAUAUCAGGUAUUCAAAUGUAUGGGGAAAAAAAGUGUUUCUAGAAAUGUAAAAUGCAUCCGAAUCUUAUUUUGUGAAAUUCUGAUGUAUUUCUCAGCAGGAGAAAGAGAAAAUUCCUGUUUGUCACUCAUGGGAUGGAAGCGGUCUGUGAUGCUCUUGUGUUCUUGUUUUUUAUUUGUGCAUUUUUUUUAUAGCACAGACAUUGAAAUAUUCUUUAAAAAAUGUCACAUUAAAAUAAUACACUUUCAGUUUCCAUAUCACAGAGAGCUAAAUUUCAAUGUUGGCAUUCGUACUUAAGCAAAUUUAGGAGAAUUGGUUAAGAGUUUGAAUCUUUCGCCCCAUGCUGCUGACCAAAGCAUAAUGUCAGUUUCAUUAAUUCCCUCUAAAUCUACUCAAAACUAACCAGUCCCUCCUUUUUUCAGGAAAUAGGCCAAACUGGACAACCGAAGGGUGCAGUACCCUUGAAGGAAUAAACAAUGUAACAUGUCAAUGCA